GCCCGGGUGGCUCGGUGGGUUGAGCGUCUGACUUCGGCUCAGGUCAUGAUCUCACGGUUUGUGGGUUCGAGCCCCACACUGGGCU
Transfer RNA from Felis catus (domestic cat), 85 nucleotides. It matches the Rfam family "tRNA". From Rfam's summary of the family: Transfer RNA (tRNA) molecules are approximately 80 nucleotides in length. Their secondary structure includes four short double-helical elements and three loops (D, anti-codon, and T loops). NCBI's taxonomy places the organism in Eukaryota, Metazoa, Chordata, Mammalia, Carnivora, Felidae. The record is from Rfam.